Molecule: ribosomal RNA, 374 nt
Filed under: uncultured organism
Description: partial 16S ribosomal RNA
Rfam family: Bacterial small subunit ribosomal RNA
Source: RNAcentral
GUAGGUGGCAAGCGUUGUCCGGAAUUAUUGGGGCGUAAAGCGCGCGCAGGCGGUUCUUUAAGUCUGAUGUGAAAGCCCACGGGCUCAACCGUGGAGGGUCAUUGGAAACUGGAGAACUUGAGUACAGAAAGAGGAAAGCGGAAUUCCACGUGUAGCGGUGAAAUGCGUAGAGAUGUGGAGGAACACCAGUGGCGAAGGCGGCUUUCUGGUCUGUAACUGACGCUGAGGCGCGAAAGCGUGGGGAGCAAACAGGAUUAGAUACCCUGGUAGUCCACGCCGUAAACGAUGAGUGCUAAGUGUUAGGGGGUUUCCGCCCCUUAGUGCUGCAGCUAACGCAUUAAGCACUCCGCCUGGGGAGUACGGCCGCAAGGCUG